This 409-nucleotide ribosomal RNA is filed under the name uncultured bacterium. Its description in RNAcentral is "bacterial SSU rRNA". It matches the Rfam family "Bacterial small subunit ribosomal RNA", at positions 28 to 438 of the family's 1533-position model. The record is from RNAcentral.
GACGAACGCUGGCGGCGUGCUUAACACAUGCAAGUCGAGCGGUAAGGCUCCUUCGGGAGUACACGAGCGGCGAACGGGUGAGUAACACGUGAGCAAUCUGCCCUUCACUUUGGGAUAACUCCGGGAAACCGGUGCUAAUACCGAAUGCGACCACUUCAGGCAUCUGACGGUGGUGGAAAGUUCCGGCGGUGAAGGAUGAGCUCGCGGCCUAUCAGCUUGUUGGUGAGGUAAUGGCUCACCAAGGCUUCGACGGGUAGCCGGCCUGAGAGGGUGACCGGCCACACUGGGACUGAGACACGGCCCAGACUCCUACGGGAGGCAGCAGUGGGGAAUAUUGGACAAUGGGCGAAAGCCUGAUCCAGCAACGCCGCGUGAGGGAUGACGGCCUCGGUGUAACGUACUUCUAGCA